Molecule: unclassified non-coding RNA, 377 nt
Filed under: uncultured Gaiellales bacterium
Lineage: Bacteria; Bacillati; Actinomycetota; Thermoleophilia; Gaiellales
Description: contains 16S-23S intergenic spacer region
Source: RNAcentral
UCCGGUUUGUCACCGGCAGUCUCCUAUGAGUCCCCGACAUCACUCGCUGGCAACAUAGGACAGGGGUUGCGCUUGUUGCGGGACUUAACCCAACAUCUCACGACACGAGCUGACGACAGCCAUGCACCACCUGUACACCGGCCCCGAAGGGCUGCCGUAUUUCUACGGCAUUCCGGUGCAUGUCAAGCCUUGGUAAGGUUCUUCGCGUCGCGUCGAAUUAAACCACAUGCUCCGCUGCUUGUGCGGGUCCCCGUCAAUUCCUUUGAGUUUUAACCUUGCGGCCGUACUCCCCAGGCGGAGAACUUAAUGCGUUAGCUGCGCCACCGAAGACCUAAGGCCCCCGACAGCUAGUUCUCAUCGUUUACGGCGUGGACUAC